GCAGCAGUGGUUCAGUGUAGAGCCCUCACCUUCCAUGUGGGAGACCAGAGUUCGAUUCUCAGCCAAUGCA
RNAcentral lists this transfer RNA (70 nucleotides) under Loxodonta africana (African savanna elephant). It matches the Rfam family "tRNA". From Rfam's summary of the family: Transfer RNA (tRNA) molecules are approximately 80 nucleotides in length. Their secondary structure includes four short double-helical elements and three loops (D, anti-codon, and T loops). The record is from Rfam by way of RNAcentral. Lineage: Eukaryota; Metazoa; Chordata; Mammalia; Proboscidea; Elephantidae.